Molecule: non-coding RNA, 79 nt
Filed under: Boseongicola aestuarii
Lineage: Bacteria; Pseudomonadati; Pseudomonadota; Alphaproteobacteria; Rhodobacterales; Paracoccaceae
Source: RNAcentral
AAAGUCUACCGUGGCGAUUUGUUCACCGGAUUGCGGGCCACGUUAAACAUUCCGCUAAAGAGGUCAGGGACGUGACCCA